AGUAGCCCAGACCUAAAUUCAGGAAUGCCAUAAUUGGCAGAUGAUUCUUUCUUUUCAUAGUGUUAAGGAUUAGUUGUAAAUAGAGUUCUAUUAGUAGUUAGAUUCCUAAUUAGUUUAUGAUUUGUAUUCCUAAUUAGCUAGGUAGCAUAGGAAUUCCUUAUAUAUAGACCUAUGUAAUCGAUUGAUGAGAUACAAGAAAUACAAUUACAAGAUAAUCUCUCAACACAUAGGAAUACAGUUGCCUUUUCUUUUAUAAGUCGGAGGUGUAUUUCUUGAUGUGGCAUCCAUUUUUAUAUUUCAUGAUUAGCAUCAGUAUCAUGACCGAGUUGUGAUAAAUUAUGUUUAACAGAAUAGAAAAAUCCAAAAUC
Molecule: non-coding RNA, 368 nt
Organism: Jatropha curcas
Lineage: Eukaryota; Viridiplantae; Streptophyta; Magnoliopsida; Malpighiales; Euphorbiaceae
Source: RefSeq, a predicted model, not a curated record